Molecule: long non-coding RNA, 235 nt
Organism: Cylas formicarius (sweet potato weevil)
Lineage: Eukaryota; Metazoa; Arthropoda; Insecta; Coleoptera; Brentidae
Exons: 2
Source: RefSeq, a predicted model, not a curated record
GAUGGUAGUACAACACAACAACCAUGAAGGUAGCCAAGCUGUUUCUUCUUUUCGUCGUUUUCUUCGUGACGCUCUUCUCUGGAACCUUUUCCCAACUUAGAUCUGAUUUGCUGGACGACGACGCUGCGCUAUUACGCAAACCGAGAGCUGACGACCGCGCAACCAAGAGGGCCGCAGACGCUACAUAAAGCCAGCGCAAUGUCGGCGCCUUUCAAAUAAUAUACAGUGAUGCUAA